UACAGAGGGUGCGAGCGUUGUCCGGAAUCACUGGGCGUAAAGGGCGCGUAGGUGGCGACCCAAGUCUGUGGUGAAAGCUCGACGCUCAACGUCGAGUCGGCCAUAGAUACUGGGUUGCUUGAGCACUGUAGAGGCAGAUGGAAUUCCGGGUGUAGCGGUGGAAUGCGUAGAGAUCCGGAAGAACACCGGUGGCGAAGGCGGUCUGCUGGGCAGUAGCUGACGCUGAGGCGCGACAGCGUGGGGAGCAAACAGG
RNAcentral lists this ribosomal RNA (253 nucleotides) under uncultured bacterium. RNAcentral's name for it is "partial 16S ribosomal RNA". It matches the Rfam family "Bacterial small subunit ribosomal RNA", at positions 524 to 776 of the family's 1533-position model. The record is from RNAcentral.